This 1140-nucleotide long non-coding RNA is filed under the name Oncorhynchus mykiss (rainbow trout). RNAcentral describes it as "lncRNA (ENSOMYG00000069918.1)". Lineage: Eukaryota; Metazoa; Chordata; Actinopteri; Salmoniformes; Salmonidae. The record is from RNAcentral.
AUGUUCACUUGGCUACGCAUGCCUCUCUCUAAUAUCAAUAUGCCUUGUCCAUUACUGUCCUGGUUAGUGAUUACUGUCUUAUUUCACUGUAGAGCCUCUAGCCCUGCUCAAUAUGCCUUAACCAACCAUGUUGUUCCACCUCCUACAUAUGCGAUGACAUCACCUGGUUUAAACAUCUCUAGAGACUAUAUCUCUCUCUUCAUUACUCAAUGCCUAGGUUUACCUCCAAUGUACUCACAUCCUACCUUACAUUUGUCUGUACACUAUGCCUUGAAUCUAUGCUAUCGUGCCCAGAAACCUGCUCCUUUUACUCUCUGUUCUGAACGUGCUAGACGGCCAGUUCGUAUAGUCUUUAGCCUUACCCUUAUCCUACUUCUCCUCUGUUUCUCUGGUGAUGUGGAAGUUGAUCCAGGUCCUGCAGUGCCUAGCUCCACUCCCACCCCCCAGGUGCUCUCAUUUGUUUACUUCUGUAAACGUAAAAGCCUUGGUUUCAUGCAUGUUAACAUUAGAAGCCUACUCCCUAAGUUUGUUUUACUCACUGCUUUAGCACACUCUGCCAACCCAGAUGUCUUAGCCGUGUCUGAAUCCUGGCUUAGGAAAACCACCAAAAACCCUGAAAUCUCCAUUGCUAACUAUAACGUUUUCCGCCAAGAUAGAACUGCUAAAGGGGGCGGUGUUGCAAUCUACUGCAAAGAUAGCCUGCAGAGUUCUGUCUUACUAUCCAGAUCUUUACCCAAACAAUUUGAGCUUCUACUUCUAAAAAUUAACCUUUCCAGAAACAAGUCUUUCACUGUUGCCGCUUGCUAUAGACCUCCCUCUGCCCCCUACUGUGCCCUCGAUACUAUAUGUGCCCCCCAUCUAUCUUCUGAGCUCGUGCUACUAGGUGACCUAAACGGGAACAUGCUUAACACCCCGGCCAUCCUACAAACUAAGCUUGAUGCCCUCAAUCUCACACAAAUUAUCAAUGAACCUGCCAGGUACAACCCCAAAUCAGUAAACACGGGCACCCUCAUAGAUGUCAUCCUAACUAAUUUGCCCUCCAAAUACACCUCUGCUGCUUUCAGUCAAGACCUCAGCGAUCACUGCGUAAUGGGUCUGCGACCAAACGACCACCCCUCAUCACUGUCAAACGCUCCCUGA